GAUGAAGGAACGUAGCGAAAUGCGAUAAGUAAUGUGAAUUGCAGAAUUCAGUGAAUCAUCGAAUCUUUGAACGCACAUUGCGCCCGCCAGUAUUCUGGCGGGCAUGCCUGUUCGAGCGUCAUUACAACCCUCAGGCCCCCGGGCCUGGCGUUGGGGAUCGGCGGAAGCCCCCUGCGGGCACAACGCCGUCCCCCAAAUACAGUGGCGGUCCCGCCGCAGCUUCCAUUGCGUAGUAGCUAACACCUCGCAACUGGAGAGCGGCGCGGCCACGCCGUAAAACACCCAACUUCUGAAUGUUGACCUCGAAUCAGGUAGGAAUACCCGCUGAACUUAAGCAUAUCAAUAAGCGGAGGA
RNAcentral lists this unclassified non-coding RNA (354 nucleotides) under soil metagenome. RNAcentral describes it as "partial contains 5.8S ribosomal RNA, internal transcribed spacer 2, and large subunit ribosomal RNA". The stretch from base 1 to 121 matches the Rfam family "5.8S ribosomal RNA", at positions 35 to 154 of the family's 154-position model. The record is from RNAcentral.